GAUGAACGCUGGCGGCGUGCCUAAUACAUGCAAGUCGAGCGAACAGGCGAGGAGCUUGCUCCUCUGACGUUAGCGGCGGACGGGUGAGUAACACGUGGAUAACCUACCUAUAAGACUGGGAUAACUUCGGGAAACCGGAGCUAAUACCGGAUAAUAUAUUGAACCGCACGGUUCAAUAGUGAAAGACGGUUUUGCUGUCACUUAUAGAUGGAUCCGCGCCGCAUUAGCUAGUUGGUAAGGUAACGGCUUACCAAGGCAACGAUGCGUAGCCGACCUGAGAGGGUGAUCGGCCACACUGGAACUGAGACACGGUCCAGACUCCUACGGGAGGCAGCAGUAGGGAAUCUUCCGCAAUGGGCGAAAGCCUGACGGAGCAACGCCGCGUGAGUGAUGAAGGUCUUCGGAUCGUAAAACUCUGUUAUUAGGGAAGAACAAAUGUGUAAGUAACUAUGCACGUCUUGACGGUACCUAAUCAGAAAGCCACGGCUAACUACGUG
This 497-nucleotide ribosomal RNA is filed under the name uncultured bacterium. RNAcentral's name for it is "partial 16S ribosomal RNA". It matches the Rfam family "Bacterial small subunit ribosomal RNA", at positions 28 to 507 of the family's 1533-position model. The record is from RNAcentral.